AUGCACACAUACUGGUGUUUCUACACCCAGAUGAUAAAGAUCGACAAAAUCAUAUCAGCCGAAAUUCCUGAUAAGAAAAGUGAUCCAGAAGGGUACGAAGCAGUGCAAAAUUACAUGAUACAUGGUCCAUGUGGUCAAGCACACCCAAAAUCACCAUGCAUGGUCGAUAAAAGUUGUGCCAAACAUUUCCCCAAGAAUUUUUGCACUGAUACUACCAUAGAUGAAGAUAACUAUCCAGUAUAUAGAAGGCGAGAUGAUGGCAACACUGUGGACAAGAAUGGAGUGAAGCUAGACAAUAGAUUUGUUGUGCCAUACAAUAGAAACCUACUGGUUAAGUAUCAAGCCCACAUAAAUGUUGAAUGGUGCAACAGAUCAAGGUCUAUAAAGUAUUUAUUCAAAUACAUCCACAAAGGAGAAGAUCGAACAACCGUCUUGAUAGAAGCGGAAGACCAACAAAGUGAAACAAGAGCUAGCAAAUUAACAAACAGGGACGACGAAAUCAAGAGGUACCUUGAUGCCCGGUACAUAUCUGGAUGUGAAGCCGCAUGGCGCAUAUUUUAG
RNAcentral lists this ribosomal RNA (561 nucleotides) under Triticum aestivum (bread wheat). RNAcentral describes it as "partial small subunit ribosomal RNA". The record is from RNAcentral. Lineage: Eukaryota; Viridiplantae; Streptophyta; Magnoliopsida; Poales; Poaceae.